UAGGGAAUCUUCGGCAAUGGACGGAAGUCUGACCGAGCAACGCCGCGUGAGUGAAGAAGGUUUUCGGAUCGUAAAGCUCUGUUGUAAGAGAAGAACGAGUGUGAGAGUGGAAAGUUCACACUGUGACGGUAUCUUACCAGAAAGGGACGGCUAACUACGUGCCAGCAGCCGCGGUAAUACGUAGGUCCCGAGCGUUGUCCGGAUUUAUUGGGCGUAAAGCGAGCGCAGGCGGUUAGAUAAGUCUGAAGUUAAAGGCUGUGGCUUAACCAUAGUACGCUUUGGAAACUGUUUAACUUGAGUGCAAGAGGGGAGAGUGGAAUUCCAUGUGUAGCGGUGAAAUGCGUAGAUAUAUGGAGGAACACCGGUGGCGAAAGCGGCUCUCUGGCUUGUAACUGACGCUGAGGCUCGAAAGCGUGGGGAGCAAACAGGAUUAGAUACCCCGGUAGUCCUAGCUGUAAACGAUGGAUACUAGGUGUUGGAGGUUUUAACCCCUCCGGUGCCGCAGCUAACGCAUUAAGUAUCCCGCCUGGGGAGUACGGCCGCAAGGCUA
This 550-nucleotide ribosomal RNA is filed under the name uncultured prokaryote. RNAcentral describes it as "bacterial SSU rRNA". It matches the Rfam family "Bacterial small subunit ribosomal RNA", at positions 355 to 896 of the family's 1533-position model. The record is from RNAcentral.